This 12373-nucleotide long non-coding RNA is filed under the name Cucumis sativus (cucumber). RNAcentral's name for it is "long non-coding RNA (CSAT_LNC001540)". The record is from RNAcentral. Lineage: Eukaryota; Viridiplantae; Streptophyta; Magnoliopsida; Cucurbitales; Cucurbitaceae.
GAAAAUUAAACAUAAGAAGGGUGAGUAUAAAAAUACCCAGUAAGAGACCCUCUACUGGUCCCGUCAGGGGAAAAAUAAAUUGUUAACAUUCUAUUGGGACACCCUGUACAGUCGCAGUCUUGUGAUCCCGUAGGAUGCACAUUUCAGUCUAACGCCCGAGGGACGUACAUUUCAGUGUAGUGUUCUGCAGAAACACAUAUCAGUCUAAUGCUCCAGAAGGUGCAGAAUAAUUGGUGAUCCCGUGGGACACCUACAAGGCACACAUCCCAAUAAAAGCUAACAAUUUUUCCCCUCAAUCCAUUCGUACCAUCUUUCAGUUACUUCAAAAUAUAAAGUUCUUUCACUCAACGUUCUAACAGUCAACUUAUCUCACUUUAGCCCAAUGUCUGUCAGUAACAUACUAAUACGUCAGUCAAUUAAACUAUAUAGUCAUAACGCCUCUCAGUUCACCAGCACACAGUCAUACUUUAGUAUAACGUACACCCAGUCUAAACGACAAUCACAAGUUCACAUCCGCAUCUCAUACAAACACAAUCUACAAUUGUCGUCCUGUCUACAUCCACACACACAUAUAUAUAUUCCAAGACAAUCACAAUAUGCAUUCAACAUCAAGUCUACUUCAAUCCAUGUGUAUAUAUAUAUUUUCAGUCAUCCACAGUAUACAUUCAACACCAAACCUACAUCCAUACGUAUAUAUAUAUUGUCUCAACACAUUUACUCAAUCAGAGGUGACUAACAUUACAAUUCAAAAGCAUAGGUGAGUCCAGUAGAAAAUAAAAUCCUUACCUCACUUUUAUGCAAGUUCUUCAAUCUACUAAAUCCAAUGAAUCAAAUCCUAAACAUAAUCAAUCAUAAAAUCAACAUCUUUCUAAAUAGUUUCAACCAUUCAAAUUACCCCAUAUGUAAAUUCCACAACUUACCCAAGAAGUGGAAAAUCAAGUCCACUUCAACCUUUUGGAAAAUCAAGGAUUCGCUCACUGAAUCAAGAUGUACCUUCAAGAAUUAAGCAUUUCGCCAACAAUUAAAUCCAAUGGCAGCAUUCAACAAAAACCAAGAAACCAACAAAAACCAUAACUUGUUCUUACCCAAAUAUGAGCCCAAUGGUUCACGGAACGAAUCAAGCGGCUGUAAAUAGAGCAACACUGAAUGCGACUCAACUGGAAAAGAAAAUCGGCUUCAAAUCGUAACUCCGUCUUACAACGAGCAGAAGAACAUCGACUUGAUAGGGGACACGUAAUUUAGGAAGAGAUCGACUUGGAUCCGUGUAUGACUUCAUGAGAUGUCCAUUGCAACCAGCCAUUUUGUGUUUCUUUGAGCAACAAAUUUUCUCCACUCGCGUCUUCAUUUCGAGCCUCACAGGUAAUCCUCGUCGACCUUCCUCUAUAGUUUCUUCUUGGUCACUCUUUGCCAUCCUCUUCACCUUUGUUGUAUAACCGUUGCAAUCGCGUUUUCCACGAUUCUUCUAUGGAUUGAGCAACUUCUUGGAAUCCAUCGAUUUAUGGACCUGAAGAUUCCAAUCCGUUCUAAAUAAACACAAUCCAGAUCAGUGCCACUGAACACAGGAAUUUCAACCUUCUUGAAUUUGCUAUGAUCGUUCGAGUUUUCAUCCCUUUUUAAGUUGUUUGUUUUACCUUCUACCUUGAUUUCCUUCAAUGUCUUACCUCCACCUUCGAUGAUACUCUCAAUCGUUGGUCCUUUGCUCGACGAUCCUUCCAUUCUUCCAGAGAUUUUCGAAUCAUCCUUCUGCUAUUCCUUCGAUGCAUUUAGCAACCGUUCUUGUUUUUCCAACUAGAUGACCAGUCUUUCGAUGCUUUCUGGCAAGGAUAACAAGUUUUAUUCAAUUGCCAGCAACUUGUGUAACUCCACUUGUAUCCCCGAGAUUUCCUUAUCAGAGGUCUCCAACUUCUCUUCGAUCCGUUUUUGUGCUGCUCUAUUGUUCUCCCAUGUUAAAACGCUCUGAUACCAAUUUGUUAAGAUACUGUAAAUAUACGGCAAGUGUAUCUUACUUUAUUGAAUUACCUCAACGAAUUACAGUAUAGAGAAUAAAAAAUCACUCACAUCUACUUCCUAAAGGCACAUUCCAGUGAGGAUCACAACAAAGAACAAGAAAAACUAAGAACAAACCGCAACCAUGAAAAUGACCAAAACAUACAAUAAAAAGAACUUGACUUGGACCCUCUACUUCUCCCGAGCACGAAAGACGGCAACCUCUACUUCUUUGGAAUAUUUUGUCCCCUUUCUCCCUCCUCUUUCCUCCCUUUAUUUUGCUUUAUAAACAAACUAAUGGGAAAGAUCUCCUCCGAUAUUUUCUCCUCCUAUAAUCUCUCCUAUAUUCUCGUGUGGGUCAAUAUUACCCUUUUUAAUUCUUCUACUGUAUUUAAAUAAUAUUGGAGACAUAUACUUCCUAACAAGAACAAGAUCUGAAUUUAUUAUAAUGUAACUAUAAGAAAAUACAAAAUAAAAUCAAGUAUAAAGCACUUGGAACCCUCCCUCUUGAGUACUCUCACCCAAGCCUUAUAUCACUCCCCAAAAUUCUCCCAACUUACCCUCCCUCCAUUUAUAAUAACAUGUAACCACCCUAGUUACCACACUUACAUAAUAACUACUAGUAACCACACUUACACAAUAACUACUAGUAACUUCCUAAAUAUCUAAUUACCCUUAUACCCCAACCCUAUACUAAUCUAGGUAUCUAACAAAUUCCAUAACAUAAUGUAUUAGGGGAAGAAGGAAAUCGAGGAUAAAAACACUAGCUAGCCAACAAAUAUCUUUCAUUAGUGAGCUUGAGCCAUUUUACACGUAAAAUGGGAAAAGUAAGCCUGAAACCCAAAUUAGCCUAAUGGUUGUCUUAACAACCACUACCCACCAUCACGAUAGAAACAACUGAGAAGGAAGAGCAUGAUACAAUCCAACUCAAACAUAAGAAUUGAUUUUGAUGUUUAAUUAAAAGUAAACAGGUAGUAGAAUAAGAAACUAUGCCCUUUUAGAUCUAGAAGGUUCACAACAAUUUCCAGCCUAAGCACAACUACGAGGCAAUGGAAGAAUAACGACAAAGGCCUUGUGUGCAUGGAAUCGCUAACUUUUGUGCAAAUGAGAUGAUUAUCGGUAUUCAAAGGCCAAAAGGAUACAUAGAAGAGUGUUCGUCUAAGGUUGCAAGACUAACCCUGAAAAGAGAGCAAUACAAAAAUUUAGAGUUUUCCGCAAAUUUCCUGUAAUGACAUGAGUGCUUGUACUCCCAUCAGCAAUGAGAGAACCACCAAGUCCUCAAUCAUCUGAAUCAGAAAACAACUGCACAUUAGAGCAGUCACAAUUUGCAAUAAAUAGAACUUUUUAUUGUUAGAAUCUUAGAAUAUUUAUGAAAAGUUUAUGGGAAUAUUUUUCUUAAUUCCUAAAUAUUUUCCUUUUUUAUUCCUCUGUAUAUUCUAUUUAUUCUCCCUUGUACCUAUUGUAUUUUUCAUCAAAAAAUAAUAAGAAGAAAAAUAUAGUGGUUUUUCUCCUGUACACAGGUUUCCACAUAAAGUUCUGUGUUUAUUUGUCUCCCUUUCAAUAUGGUAUCUGAGCAGGUGGUCCAAGAAGGUCUUGUGUUCAAGCCUCGCAUUUUCGUUUCCUCCCCAAUUAAAAUCCGUUUCCAGUUGUUGGGCCUUUCAAAUAUUUCAAGCCCACAAGUGAGGAGAGUGUUGGUGAUAUAUAAUUGAAUUUUCUUUCUUUUUUUAAAAAAGGAUACAAGUCUCACUAUUGUUAAUAUAAAGAAAGAGACAAAACUCAAUGUACAUGAGGAUUAUAAAAAGAGCAAAAGGGAGAGGGAAGAUCAACAGGUGCAUCCGGCAUCUCAAACUAGGUUGACACCCCCUUAGUGCCCUCAAAACAUCCAAAAAGCGACAACACAAGAUCAAAACAAAAAGCCACAAAAACAAAGACAAAAUAAAUGAUAAAAAGAAUCUUUCCAAAGCAAAAUCAUAAUCCAAGGCAGCAUGCUGAGAACAAAGAAGAAUAAGCCUUGAUUGGUUGAGCAAAAACUAUUUGAAGCAGAGGGUUGAUCCGAAAGUUCUGAUCAUCACAAAUAUCCUACGUCGAAGAUCUUCUUUUGCAUUACAUUUUCUAAAAUUUCCAAUCCACUCUGUUAAAGGCCUUUUCAAGGUCUAAUUUAAUGAUCCAUUUUUCGGAUACUAUAGACCUCCACAGUUUCUUUUGCUAUUAAAAUAGGAUCCAAUAUUUGGCACUCUUCCAGAAAGCCACAUUGUAAUGGAGAAGUAUGUUAGGAUUCUAACAAUAAAACACAAAUAUCCUAACCAAAUGGCUAAACAGAGCAGCACUCUGUAAUUCUUUUUAUGUAAAAGCCAAAAACACACUGUAGUAGAUAUGAAAAAUAAAGGAUGAACAACAUAGAAAACUUACCCAGCUCCUUUAUACGGACUGGAUACCCUCAGGCUACACAGCCUUUACUCUCCUUGAAAUAACCAAAAAAGACCUAGCCUCCCCCUACCCCAACAUUACAUAUUUAUACCUCUCUCUCUCAUCCCUCCUGGCGGCCCCACCUAAGGAAUUUCCCUUUCUACCGUUCCUUUUAUAGGUAUAGAUAAUAGGAGGUCUUACAAAGUAAUACUUGGCUUGACUUUCUUUAAUCUUUCUGCGAGAACCUUUCCAAACAACUUAUAAAUUAAUGUUGAAACAACUUAUAAGCCACACUGUAAUGACAUUCCUUCUCUUGACCGAACUUCAAUAAUCGACAACUUAUAUUUAUCCACAUAAUCAGCAAAACUCUUAAUCUGCCACUAGCUUCACCCAACCAAUUCCUUUAAACUCCAUAGUGCCUUAUAAUACAAUUGGCAAUCUCUUCUUCUUUGGUCUCCGGAAUCAAUGCUCUAUCUGGAUUAGCUUCUUCAAAAGAUUUUUAAUAGCAAUUGUUUCGAAUAUGAAUCCUCUAGUGUUCCAUGAUAUAAUCUCCAUCUUUGCUACCUCUGCCUUAUAUCAAUUCAAUUUCACAUGCUGCCAAGAAAGGAACCAACUCUUGAGGGGAAGGAUACUGACCUCAAAAAUUUCUUUUAUGGGGAGGAAAACAAUUUAAUAAAAUCUGGACGAGAGAGUCAAUUCCUCUUGUUUCUCUGUCUCUGAUUGAAUUAUUUCUUCCUCAACUGGUUCAAUUAUGCACUACUUACUUGACUUGAUUUUUCCAUGAAAUCAUCUUCUAGGUUCUCAACUUUUUUUGAGACAAGAAGUAUCUUGCACAAAAUUAAAGAAUGAACCAAAAAGUUUGGAGGAGAUUGAGAAAAUUUAUUACUUAAGGAGGAAGGCAGUACUGACCUUUUGCCAACUGAAUUUGGAAUUGUAUCUUCACACAACUUUCUCUAAUAAAUCAGAAUUAGCCAAGGUCAUCCAAAUGUUGCGAAAAGAGUUCUCCCUUUGGUAUAGUCUUGAGGUGCUCAUAAAUUUUUUGCAUGUAUUGGAAUAGCUUUCAUUGCAGAGAUAUUUUAGUCUUGGGAGAGGCUGUAAUUUUGGUUGAGAACUGAAAACAGGAGAUGGCCAGCAAGUAAGUUCCUUGAUGGAGGAGAGGACUCUGAUUCUUCCUCCAAUUCGUCAGAAUACCAAAAGCCAUUGGUAUUCUGAUUAAUAAAUUCUUGGGGCCUACCAUCUGUGGUCAGAUUUUAAAAUGUCUGCAGAUACAUUAAGUUUGAAAAAAUCUGGUUGGGAGGCUAGGUGAGCUAUUUUUGAGAUAAUAAAAUACCGGCUGGCUCUUUUCUACUUUCAAGGUCUGUUUUUCUCUCUUUUCUGUUGAAGUCUUUUCCCCUUCUAAGUACGUGGAGAUGCCAGCUAUACCCAAAUUUGAAUUUUGCCUUCUGAAAAUUAUUUUUUCCGGCGAGGAUUCAAGGUCUGAAACUCUUUCCGGCUCGAACAAGGUUUUCUUCUUCAUCAUCCAACUUCCUAAGUGCUUCGAAAGGAUUUCUUGAGAUGGAUGGGCAUUCUGUUUGAGAAAAUUCAGGUAUCUGGGAGACCAUCACUUUGGAGCCCUUCAUCUAAAAUCACUGAAUUUAUUCUACAUAAAUCAAUAGGAUUGGAAAAUCACUUUGCAAUAGAUCAGAUUGGAUUAUUACAAGAGCUUCUAAGGUUCAAAAUCCCCAAAUUAAGGGAAAAUUUCCUUAGUUCUCACUCUUUAAUUCUAUACUUGCUGGUAAAAAUCCGCAAAGAUUUUUCCAAACUUUAAUUCUUGCUUCAGAGAACUUGAUCAGAUUGAGUGUUCUAAGAUUAUACUUUCUAGUCCACCAAAGUAGCUUAAGCUUAAGGCUAUAAUUGAAUUUUCUUUCAACCACCAGCUUAAACUUUUUGGUGAAUCGGUGGUUUAAUAUUUAUAUUAAUAUUUUAUAAAAAGUAUACAGCUAAUGCCAUAUAAAAUAAAUAAAGAAAUACUAUAAAAUCUACAUCCAUAAAAUAUGCAUGUGAACACAUAUCAGAAGAUGGAUAUCGUAAGUUAGAAAGACCGAUAACAAAAUGUCAUAAUUAAACAACAUCAUAUAUUAUGGGUAGUUUCAAGCUUCAUUUGUCUAUUCUAGGUAGGAUAUUGAAUAACUCUUAAAAAUAAUAUAAAGAUUGACAUCCCUAAACUUCAUGCUUGCUUGUAUACAACCUAAAAGUUCAACAGUUAAAAAAACUUAAUCAUUUUUGCAGGAUGUCAGAUUCGCCUUUCGAAAUCCUACAUGAGUAGAGCCAGCCAAAUAAGCCAAGCCUCUUAAGAAAUAUGAGAAGUUCAAUGACUGGGUAUGUAUAUGAUAAGCCUUAACCUCAAUUUUAUUUGUCAAUAAUGGAGGGAAGGAAUCAAAAGCUUCUCUAGCGUCUCCCAAUUAUUCUAAGAAACCUAAUACAAGGUAUGUCAAAACAUACCCUCCCCAAACAAUCAUAAUAGCAUUUAUAUGAAAGCAUAAAAGACUCAUGGCCCCCUUAACUAGCAACAUUCAGACCAACAAAUACAGCUUCCCAUCCUCCUCUCCUGAAUCCUUUCUUGUGCCUACAGGUGUACACCUUCACUACCAUGGGCCUAUCAAUAUUUAGAGAUCGUAGAGGCUGUAUGAGCCAAGGAGCUGAAGAGUAGGAUUAGGGAAGUGUGGAGUUUUCUGCUCUUGUUUGGCCAAAAUGUUGUGGACCCGACAAGAAAAUUUCAAUUUUAUGCCUUAUUGACUUCGUAUGUCCUAGGCCCUAAGAGUUCAAAACUUUCUAGAUUUCACAACUUCUUGGACCACUCCUUGUGCCAAACACCCCUUUAAGAAUUACUAAGCCAAGGAUAUAAACUUCAAUACCAUCAAUAGAAAAUCUCAUAAAAGAAACAUGAAUGAUGAAUAUUUAGAUAGAAGACUAAUUGGUACCGUACCUUCAUGAGCUGAGUUUUCUUAGUUUCGUCUGCAAUGUUCAUCAGCAUAAUUUUAAAUGAUUUUCCUAAUGUUUCUCUUCAGAAUUGAGGUCCUCUGAUGCCACAUUUACACUUCAAAUUCUUGACAGAAAUUUUGUGUACAUGAUUGGUGAAUUUUUAGGAUAAAUACUUUAUAAAAUCUCAUGCUUUUGAAUUGGCUAAAGAGCAUCCUGGAGAGCAGGUAUCGUAUACAUCACUUUUAGAUCAAGAUUUUGUUAGAGUGGAAUGGAAAUGGUCCAGAUUGACUCCUUUUACUUUCUUUGACUUCAGGGAAGAAAGUGAUGCUUCCCAAACUCUCUUGGCGCUAGUUUAGAGCAAGAACAAUGUGUCUCAUCCAAAUUACCAAGAGUAUUGGAUAAUUUUGCAAUACUAGCUGUCGUGUUGUUCUCUAUUUCUGCAAAAGAAACCAGACCGUUGCUGUCAUGCACUGCAUCCUGGUUUAGAUAAACCGUUAUGAGAAAAUUAAGCAACAUAUGGAGAAUAAUUUAAAUUGUACUAUCUUGUGGAACAAAACCUUAAUUACACAUACCCUGAAUUUCAUUUUCUUCUCCAAGGGGCACUAAAGUUACAAACUCGUCAUGUUGAAAAUUCAAAUUUUGAAUGGUAUGCUGAUCAGUUGCAUUUGAAACGUUGCAACCUCGAUUGGCAACACUGAUUCUUGCAGCAUACGGGCUUCAGCUUUAAUAGAGAAAGUAGCUUUGGAAAGUUAGUCGAACACAUUGAAAUUCCCUGAAUGUGCGAAAUCCAUGGAUUUUAUUACACAUCCAAAGGUGAACGACUUUGAGGCAUCUUGGUUAUAAUCAAUUGGUUCUCAAAGUACGCCACCUUCAUCCCACUACAAAACUAUGUUCUGUCGAGCUGAUAGCACACUUGUUCUUUAAGAACGUCUUGAAGUUAUGGAGAGUUCCAUCAAGCAUUGUGAGUGACAGGGAUGGUAGAUUCAUUGGUACUCUCUGGGAUGUAGAGUUCCAUCAAGCAUUCGCCUUCUUGGGGACACGCCUAAAUAUAUCCUUAAGCUGCCAUCCUCAGACGAAUGGCCAAACUGAAGGAUUCAAUUGUAUGCUUAAGGAAUAUCUACGACAUUUUGUUGAUUCUGGACAAAAGAAUUGGGCCUAGUUGAUGGAUGUGGCUCAAUUUUGUUUUAAUGCACAAACUAGUCUAUCCACAAGAACGAGUCCUUUCGAAAUCUUGAGUGGAAGACAACCUAUACUGCCUCAUAUUGUUGAUCAUCCUUAUGCCGAAAAAAAUCCUCAAGCUCAUAACUUUACGAAAAAGUGGAGAAGACUACGAACAUCGCUCGAGCAUACUAAGAGAAAGUCUCGAAGCGUAUGAUAAGAAGCAUCAUCCUCUCAAGUUUUGAGCGGAAGACCAACUCUUCAUAGAGUUUAAAGCAAAGCAAAUUUGAUUUAAGGACAUCAACAUCAGCAUCUCACCAGAAAAUACGAAGGGCCUGUUGAAGUUCUGAAGAAAAUUGGAAAUGCAUCCUAUAGGUAUCGUUGCCUGCAUGGAUAAAAACCAUCUAGUAGCUCAUGUGAGCAACUUGAAACUUACCAUCAAGAUCCAGAUGCACCAGUAGUGCAACAAUGGUGUAUGGUCAUCUAGUGACCUAAAGCAGAAAGACGAUAAAGAAAUGGAAGAAAUCCUUCCUAAGAGAGUGAGGAAGGGUAUACCCAUGAAGAAGAUACAUGAAUUCCUACUGAAGUGAAAGAACCUCCAUGUGGAAGAAACACGUUAGGAAUGUGCUGAAGACCUUGGAGCGUGAAAGAAGAAGAUCGAGGAAUUCUAGCUUCGCCAGUCGACAGGGACGUCAAUUGUUUAAGUGGGGGAGAAUGUAACAAGCAUGCUUGUCCAAGGUGUUUACUUAUGGCCGCAUGCCCAAACACCCCCAAUUUACAUUGUUUUUAUGUUUUGUAUUUAGUUUUACUUUUUGCUUUCCUUUUUAUGUCAUAAACCUUGGGUGUGACUUGGCUUUUUCUUAUGCAAGCCUACCAGAACUAAAAAAGUCUAAAAUGUACUAUAGAUGGGACAUAGUAGUUGAAUUCCUGCCAAGCCUUGUUGCACUCUUCGCAAUCAAAGUUUUUCUUUGCAAUUGACAGUCUUCAAUGCUUGCUUUAACGAUAUUUUCAUUGAAUUUCUUUCUCCUCACGUUUUAUAAAACAUUUUCUUAAGAACGUGAAGAGAGGCUACAUCGUAUCAUGUGUUUGUCCGUGGUUUCUGGAUUUUGAUCAGCUAACUUGUUGUCUACGUAAAACAAGUGCAACAUAAUCGCUCCUCUCGUGUUUGAAAGCUCGCGAUUGUGACACAAGAAAUGCACUAGCCAAGAAUGCACACGAGGAGGGCUACACGAAAUGCCAAGCACGCAACCAUGUGAGGUUCACAAUGUGCUUGUGUGUGAGGUUAGCACGCGGGCAUGCCCAACACGCGUGAAAAGCCUCUUGUGAGAUUCACACACAGUAGCCAGCGCCCAACCAAGGCCCUACUACCCACCCAUUCGUGCCAGGCAGUGUCAUAUUGCGUGUUGAGCUAUUUUUGGUAAUUUUUUGUGUUUUUUAAGUAUACUUUUGAUAUUUUAUUGGCAAAAGAUAAUUAAUUGUACUAUUUUACCAUUAUUUCAGGACAUGAGAAGAUCAUACAAAUUUAUAAACCAAGGAUUUGAGCUUGUAUCUAUGAGUGGAAAAUGUUUUAUUUAAAGUGAUUUCAAGCAUGUUCUUAAGUCAUGAUUUAUGACGGAUUUAUGAUAAAAUGUUUAAGUUAUGUUAUGAAAAGUCUUUCAAGGGUGUUAUUGUUUAAAGGUAUUUAUUCAAGCAUAUUGUUUACUCUUCAAAAUGCAUAAUAUUCAAAAUGUUUUCCCACUUUCUAGGUAGAGAUCGUGUCCUCUAAGCCUAACUUGCUACUACCUGUCUACUAAAGGAUUUCAUUUUGUUAUCAUAUGUGUCCUGUUAUUUUGUACUAAUGAUAAAUUAGUCUUUUGUGCUAUCAGACUUAGGCUUUUGGGAAGGUUUAAUAAGGUUUUGUUCUAGAUAAAUAAGAUUACGUUUUUUCUAUGUAAAACUUGUCUAAGGUUGUUAAAUGAAAAAGGUUUAGCCCAAUUGGUUUUAGUAAAAUUUAUGUGUUAUGUUUCCGCUGUUGUUUAGAGUUUAAAGGUUCAGGCUAAGGGUUAAAUGGUGUCGUUCUUGACGUGGGUGCUAUCGAUUGGCUUCACGCCAUAUCUCGAGCCACGCAAGUAGGUUCUCGUGGUGGGGUGUGAUAGCCUAAGUUGGCUUAUUAACAAAAUAGUCCGGGCGAGGCCCAUGUGGACCGACUGGUAAAGGUUGAAGAGCAAAUGCUCUACCUAAUGAAAGUUCCUAACUCAAUUCGCUUCUUGGAAACCCGCCUUGAAGAAAUUUUUUAGAAAGCUGAUGCUAUUAAUUAAACCACCACCCAAAAUCUUAAGCUAGUGAUUAAAAGUAAAUUUAAUUAUAUAUCACUAACAAUCCCCCACUUAUGGGUUCAAAAUAUCUAAAAGGUCCAACAAGUGAAAAUCAAUUUUAAUUGGGAAGGAAACACCAAUACAAGGUGUAACGACCCAACUUUUCCAAAUAAGUCGAAGUCAUUAAUUUCAAAUAAAGACCUGAGUUUACGCAAAAUCUCAAUCUCAAAUAAUUUCAAAGUCUCAAAGAAAACAAAAAUUUAUAUUUGGGCCCUGUUUAAAAUAGCCAACACUUUCAAGAAAAGUUUACUAAUUCGUGAAUACAGUUCAACUAUAAAAUUUUCUAAACAAUCUCAAGUACUAAAACAAAACAUGAGAAACAAAACAUUAAGCGGAAGCAAAUUAAAAUAUCCCCUAUGGCAAUCACGCUUCCUUCCUGCCCCUCGCCGGUUUGUCGCCUUUAUUACCUUUGCCUGAAAAAAUUAAACAUAAGGAGGGUGAGUAUAAAAUACCCAGUAAGAAACCCUCUACUGGUCCCAUCAGGGGAAAAUAAAUUGUUAACAUUCUAUUGGGACACCCUGUACAGUCGCAGUCUUGUGAUCCCGUAGGAUGCAUAUUUCAGUCUAACGCCCCGAGGGACGUACAUUUCAGUCUAGUGUUCUGCAGAAACACAUAUCAGUCUAAUGCUCCCGAAGGUGCAGAAUAAUUGGUGAUCCCGUGGGACACCUACAAGGCACACAUCCCAAUAAAAGCUAACAAUUUUUCCCCUCAGUCCAUUCUAAACAUCUUAACAGUCAUUCACAGAUCAGUUAAACAUUCUCAUCAUAUAAACUCCUUAUUUAACCCCAAACAGUCGUCUUACUCUAAUUUAGCCCAAGGUCAAUAAAAAGUAUAUCAUUACAUCAGUUAACAAGCUAAACAAUCAUAAUCUCCUCCUCAGCCACCAAGGGCACAACCAUGACGUUUCCUCCGUUCACAAGCACACAACAUAACAGUAGAUUAUACAUUCAGUCUAGACAACAAUCAAUCUACUAAUCAAAUCCACACUUUAUAUAAGCAACAUCUACGAGAUUCAGUCGUUUCCACAUCCUUAUCUUUGUACAUAUACAUAACCAGACAGUCACAACAUAUACUCAACCACAGUCCACAUCAACCCAUGCACAUAUAUAUAUUAAUUUCUCCCAGUCAAACACAGCAAACAUUAAACUUUAAGUCAAUACCCAAACAUACAUCAUAACUGUCGUCCUACUCAGUUCACAUAUAAUAUUUCGGUCCAUACAGUCAAUACAUCUUAAUUAGUCAAUAUAUCUUAAUUUUGUUGUUGAGUCCAGUAGAAAAUCCCUUACCUCAAAGUUAGGGAAGCUCCUUAAUCAACUAUCGUCCACGAAACAAUCCAAAUAAGGGCAAACUGAAAUCAAAAUUCACAAUUUGGUUGUGAAUUUAAGUGAUCCAAUAAAUCAAAUCCUAAACAUAAUCAAACAUAAAAUCAACAUCUUUCUAAAUAGUUUCAACCAUUCAAAUUACCCCAUAUGUAAAUUCCACAACUUACCCAAGAAGUGGAAAAUCAA